Molecule: ribosomal RNA, 548 nt
Filed under: Encyonema triangulum
Lineage: Eukaryota; Bacillariophyta; Bacillariophyceae; Cymbellales; Encyonemataceae
Description: eukaryotic LSU rRNA
Rfam family: Eukaryotic large subunit ribosomal RNA
Source: RNAcentral
AAGCAUAUUACUAGGCGGAGGAAAAGAAACUAACCAGGAUUCCCUCAGUAAGGGCGACUGAAGCGGGAAUAGCCCAGCAUGUGAAUCGAUGUUUCGGCAUCGAAUUGUGGUCUAAAGAAUCUUGUGUCAAUGACUGGGUCAAGUCCCUUGGAAUAGGGCGGCAGAGAGGGUGAGACCCCCGUUUACCUAGUCUAUGAAGCAAGUUUCCAUGAGUCGAGUUGUUUGGGAUUGCAGCUCAAAGUGGGUGGUAAAUUCCAUCUAAGGCUAAAUACUGGUGGGAGACCGAUAGCAAACAAGUACCGUGAGGGAAAGAUGCAAAGAACUUUGAAAAGAGAGUUAAAGAGUACCUGAAAUUGCUGAAAGGGAAGCGAAGGAAAUCAGUGAUAACUUGUUCACAUUUUUCUGUCUGCUUGCAGAUGGAACGCUGUGGCCUUGUUGCGUCAAUCUUAGUUGUGCGAGGUGCAAAUGCGUCGAGGGAGUUGACCAAGACUUGCUGGACCCAGUGCGACCGAAAGAUGACGAAAUGGUUUUCUUCUCCCCGUCUUGAA